AACGAACGCUGGCGGCAGGCCUAACACAUGCAAGUCGAGCGGACCCUUCGGGGUUAGCGGCGGACGGGUGAGUAACGCGUGGGAAUAUGCCCUUCUCUACGGAAUAGUCCUGGGAAACUGGGGGUAAUACCGUAUACGCCCUUUGGGGGAAAGAUUUAUCGGGGAAGGAUUAGCCCGCGUUGGAUUAGGUAGUUGGUGGGGUAAUGGCCUACGAAGCCGACGAUCCAUAGCUGGUUUGAGAGGAUGAUAAGCCACACUGGGACUGAGACACGGCCCAGACUCCUACGGGAGGCAGCAGUGGGGAAUCUUAGACAAUGGGGGCAACCCUGAUCUAGCCAUGCCGCGUGAGUGAUGAAGGCCUUAGGGUUGUAAAGCUCUUUCAGCUGGGAAGAUAAUGACGGUACCAGCAGAAGAAGCCCCGGCUAACUCCGUG
Molecule: ribosomal RNA, 433 nt
Filed under: uncultured bacterium
Lineage: Bacteria
Description: partial 16S ribosomal RNA
Rfam family: Bacterial small subunit ribosomal RNA
Source: RNAcentral